Long non-coding RNA from Spodoptera frugiperda (fall armyworm), 237 nucleotides. RefSeq lists it as uncharacterized. NCBI's taxonomy places the organism in Eukaryota, Metazoa, Arthropoda, Insecta, Lepidoptera, Noctuidae. The transcript is spliced from 3 exons. The record is from RefSeq and is a predicted model, not a curated record.
AGUUACAGCCGGCAUCACCAUCAGUAGUUCGGGCGCACUCGGUAUUGUGCUGGACGGACUUCCAGUAAUUGAUGGAGACAUAGACGUUGAUUUUAGCGGCGGCGACGAAAAAUAGUAAAACUAGCCUACUUGAUGGAUUAAUGGUUCCUAACGACAUAAUCAACACAAAUACCGGUAUAUUCACAAUGAGUGCACUUAUAUUUUACUAAUAAAACAUAUUGGCGUGAACAAUGUGUA